GGCAAAGUCGGGCAGGUAUUUGUGGUCUUUGAGUACGGUGUGUUAACCCGGCAACGCAGCAAGAAAAUGGAGGCAGAAUGUAUUAAACCUGGCGAAAAAUACAGCUUUAAUCGAGAAAGGGGUUAAAACCAAAUGGCGCUGGGCAUGGAUAAAGGAAAACGUUGGAGAUGGAAAGCCGUUCAGCACUUGGUGCCACAAGAAUUAACAUCCUCACCAAUAUCAGAAUCAAGUCUAUUCUCCAGUAAGACCCUUUAAAGACUACAGUCCUUGUGGGGAACAUGGAUGUGAUAUUUCCACACACUCUCCAUGUAGGAUGCAGUCCUACACAGAAGUGUGAGAAAACUCACACACCCAAAGUGUUGCCUUUUAAGUUUCAUGAUUUAACCAUUUGUGAUUGGCAUUCCAAGUUUUUUUUUUUUUUUGGUGAGCUGGCUUAUUUAGCUCCUAAUAGGCUUUUUCUUCAAAAUGCAUAAAAGUCCUGUCAUGUUUUAGAUCACUUGAGAAAUAUGACACAAAUAUUAACGGUUUGUACUUAUAUCAUGAUUGACAUUAUCCACCGCUAAAGCAACUCUUUGCUUGGUACUGUGGUUAUAAAUAUGUUGUAAUGUUUCAUCUUUGACUCAUUAAUACGCUCUGUUAAGUUGAUUGAAUAAAAUAUCUGUAUAACAGUUGCCACCAGAUGAGUUGAAUGUUUUUUUUACAGUAAACAGAAGUGCAUCAUCAUCAUCAACUUCCACUCAACCUCCUAUUGUUCAGCCCUCCUUUAUGAAUAAUGUAGAUAUUAUGCUCCGCAAUGUGUGAUUAAAAGGGGAAAAAUGUAUUUGAUUCAGGAAAAGGAAUAUACAAGUUAGAGUUUUGUUGCUGUAUUUGAAUAUUCUGAGUGUCCUGUA
Esox lucius (northern pike) is the source of this 890-nucleotide long non-coding RNA. RefSeq lists it as uncharacterized. The transcript has 3 exons. Lineage: Eukaryota; Metazoa; Chordata; Actinopteri; Esociformes; Esocidae. The record is from RefSeq and is a predicted model, not a curated record.